Molecule: ribosomal RNA, 293 nt
Filed under: uncultured bacterium
Lineage: Bacteria
Description: partial 16S ribosomal RNA
Rfam family: Bacterial small subunit ribosomal RNA
Source: RNAcentral
UUUCCCUACGGGGCGCAGCAGUGGGGAAUAUUGGGCAAUGGGCGCAAGCCUGAACCAGCAACGCCGCGUGAAGGAAGAAGGCCCUCGGGUUGUAAACUUCUUUUAUUCGGGACGAAACAAAUGACGGUACCGAAUGAAUAAGCCACGGCUAACUACGUGCCAGCAGCCGCGGUAAUACGUAGGUGGCAAGCGUUAUCCGGAUUUACUGGGUGUAAAGGGCGUGUAGGCGGGAGAGCAAGUCAGACGUGAAAUUCCAGGGCUCAACCCUGGAAAUGCGUUUGAAACUGUUCGUC